RNAcentral lists this long non-coding RNA (8161 nucleotides) under Nicotiana tabacum (common tobacco). RNAcentral's name for it is "long non-coding RNA (NTAB_LNC010717)". The stretch from base 3725 to 3805 matches the Rfam family "tRNA". Lineage: Eukaryota; Viridiplantae; Streptophyta; Magnoliopsida; Solanales; Solanaceae. The record is from RNAcentral.
UUUAGCUUCUUCAAAUUUCAUGUUCAGAUCUGUGUAGAUCGUCCUCCGAUCUGCCUUUUGAAUGUGGAUUUACUGUACUUCCAUAAAAGCUUGGCGAUUGGCCAACCGAGCGGUGGAAUCGUUCGAUUUCCGUCAACGUGUGGCCGCCGGUUGACCUUAGCUGUAGAUCUGAUGCUUUUCGCAAUGGUUCGAUGGAGCUGAGCAUCAGAUCUGUUUGGUCUUCAGAGAUUUGUUGAGGUUGGAUUAGUAGUUUGAGCAACCGAGGUGUUAUUUUACCGAGGCUUCCAACGUUGUUUUCUAGAGCUUUAUCGGUGAGCUAAAUAUGCUUAUUGGGUUUUGUUUAUUUGGAGAAGAUGUGUUAAGCAAUUUAUGUUUGUUGAAAACAAGCUAAUCCUUUUACAUAUUGCAGAUAUGAAUAGAGAUGCAAGGACUAUUGAAUCGGUGCUGCCGUUGUUUUGCAUCAAACGGUUUAGACUGGUAAUCUUCGAUCGAGGGUUGAAUCAGCUAGCGUGAUGGUGUAUUUAAGGUUAUAAUAGUUUAAUUUAUUGUCUACAAUUAUUUAAAUGGCUCAUUUGCAUUAGUUUUUAUUUAUUUAUUUAUGCAUAUGUACGCGAGGAUGAAAGAUUGAGCGACGUUGUGAGUUAUGAGAGGAAAAAUUGAGGUAUUUAUUGUCAUGUUAUCAGGCCUUUGCCAUGUUGGGUGCGCUCGCAUGGCAGGUCAAAAGUACAUUAUAAAAGUAUUCAUUUUGGGUGUUGGAGAGGAGAAGGCACGGGGUUUUGCCCGGCUCUGCUCUCUUUGCGUGUCUCGUGUCCUUUUUGGCUCUGCUCUUUCUUUUUUCCUGCGUCCAACAACUUUGCGUCGAUCAGUGGUUACUUGUCGUUGAAUAGGCCUUGUGAUUACUGUUGUGUAUUUUGAGGCGAGUCUUAUUCAAAGACAAGUAACUCAUGUUGAUUUGCUAUAUGCUCCACGGCGAUGGAUACAAGCAACGUUUCUACUGCAGCACGCCACUAGAGGUACAAUAUCAAUUCUCUUAGUUAAAGUUAACUAACAUUUUUUAUAACAUUUAUCAAUUCUAAACUGAUUGCCUUAAUUAUCACCUUCACUAACUUAUACUCGUAUAAAAGCUUCUAAACAGCACUUCUGGAAAUAUUAUACAAAGGCUGAAAUGCUCACAGCUUGGAAGUAACUUAUGUUAAGCACACCUGCACCUCUAUGGAAGUAACUUUAAGAAUAUAAUUUGGCCGCUGUUAAUUGGCUUGCGAACUUGCCAAUUUUUUAUACAGAGCACCUCAUAAUGUUCCCAUUAAUUGUUUUUAUAAAUUUUUCGCUCGUAAAUAAGACCUUAAUGCAUGAUGUCACAUAAAAAAUGGUGGUUACACCUUUAUUGGUUAUGGUAAGCUUAUGUUUUAUUUAAUAAAAUCUGAAAUUUGAACCAUCAUCUGAUAGUUGUGAUUGGGCAAGGAGCAUAACGUUAGAACUGGUAUUGCAAAGUUGUAUCUGAACUGUGUAUUAUUCUCAUUAAGGUUAGAUUUCAGUGUUUACUCUUUUAAGUUUCCACAGAUAUUUAAGAGGCUAUAAUCAGUAGUGAUAUUGGAAUAUAAAUUGGUUUAUGUAGCGAUAUGGUUGAUAAAAUAGCUGAAAUUAAGUAGCUAUCUUCUUACAAAAUGUUGCGGAAAAUCAUUGUGUUGGCAUCACAAAAUCUCGCUGACACUUGAAUGUUCCAUUUUCAUUAAUUCUGCAGAUGCAACUUAAUUCGGGUUUAUUCUUUUUAUAAAUGCGUACUCUUGGUUUACUUAGUCAAUAGUAGUGAGUUAUUGUUUCUUAGUCUAGUCGGAGCUUAGCUGUGUUCUCCUGAUCUAUGAUGUAAUAGUUUCAUUCCGAUGGAAGUUCUUUGUUAUGGUACCCCUAUUGUAGUGUUUUGGGAGGGGUACCUUGUGUAGCCAGGUUUGGAACUUUGACCUUAAAAACAAUUCAGUGUAUUCCGGUUAGAUUUGAUGCAUAUCAAAUGAUGGUGGGUGGCUGUGGCUUCCAAUAAGCUGGAGGCACAUUGGUGCUGGCGGCUGAAGUUGAAAUUUUUCGUGCUGCGCUUGAUGUAUAUGCUGCUUCUAGUUAAUAUGAAGCUUAGUUUUCUCCGUGUCCAUCAAGAAAUGGAGCUGCUGCUGCUGUUGAAGAUUUGAUAGCCUUGUGUUUGAUGUGCUUUCUGCAUGAGGUAAUUUCUCCGGGAUGCCACUUUGGUGAGGAAUUUGUGAAACUCUAAGCUUGUUGCUGUUACUGGUUUGAAUCUGUGGUUUUCAUUAUGUUUUGAAGCUGUGGUUCUGUGUGGUCAGCAAGUUAACAUCGCUUGGUUUUACAAGCCUUCAUCCAAGAUGAAGUGUUGACUGAAGAUGUUAGAGCUUGUUGCUGUUGCUGGUUUGGAUCUAUGGUUUUCAUUAUGUUUUGAAGCUGUGCUUUUGUGUAAUCAGCAAAAGUAUCAACCCCUGUUGGUUUUGCAAGCAGGUUCAUCAGAAAUGAAGUGCGUGACAGAAGAUGUCGGUCUGUAUAUCCAAAGGAAUUUAAAGAAAGCGUAUUUUCUGUGCCUUUACUAUUUUCUGAUUGGAAAAGUGAAGCUAGCUCCUUAGAAGAGUUGAUAUGGUAUUUCUUUUUAGAAGUAUUUUCUCAGGAAAACGUUGUAGCAAGCGACUGAUAUCUAGUCUCGAACUGUGUUGUUCAUGUGCUUUCUGGCAUUCUGAGGUAAUUCAUUUGGUUUUCAUCUAAAGACUGUAUAAUUUUCUGCACUUUUAUUAUGUGGUAGAAUUUUCUCAGACAUCCAGUGAUCUUGCACAUUUAUAAAGUAUCGUUGUCCUGUUGGAUCAUAUUAUUAGCUAUAGUUUUUUUCGUAAAAUUUAUUUUAAUUUUAGCAAUAGGUUUUUGAUAUCUGUGAGCAUAUUUAAAAUCUCUCCUUGCAGGGCAUGAAUAAUUGUCUGCCUCCAAACUGGAGCGUUUCUCAUGUUUGUAAGAAUGUUGACAAUUAACAGUUUUUACGCAGGCAGUCUGCUGUUGCGAAUCUGCCGGUUCGGCAGUGUCUAAUUAGAAGAUUGUCUCUCUAUUAUAGAGAUACAGUUUGGAGAGAGCGUCAAUUUCACUGAUAAUUUGGUUUCAGAUGGGCUUUGUAUUUAUUAGUAGAAGAGAACUUGCAUGCAGGAUACAGUGUUGCAAUAUUUCUUGACGGAGUAUGGUUGGGUUUUGUGCUAGUCUUGGCAGUACAUGUUCAUCUUUUUAACAAGUUAUUAAACUCGAGAAUGUUCUAGAUUAUUAUUAUUGUUGUUUCAGUCUGCAAACAGUCAUUGUUGGGGUACUAAAUAAGAGAGCUUCCUGGAAUUACAAUGGAUCAAUUGAUGGGACCCUAAAAUGAGUGGCUAUGUUAAUGUUAAUGCAUUGCUUCUAAUUCUCAUCUCCGACAGAUUAGUGAUAAACACUGUUCCUAUUUUUUACCACUAAACAUGGUAAAGGAUUCUUCUAUUCAUCUUAUUUAAAAAAGGCAACUUUUCAUAUUUAAUGCUCCCUAUGUUGCAAUGUAUGUGAACUUAUUCUUUUUAGUUUUGUUAAAAAGAAUGUUUUCACUUAUUUGGAAAUAAUUUAUCUUUAUAUGAUUAUUUAUGACCACAAAAAGGAUUUUUCUCUUUACUUUAACUUCGUGUCCAGUAUAAUUUAAUUCUACUGUCAUUAAUUGCUGUUUUGGAUGGAUGGAUCUAAGAGCUCGGUUUUUGGUUGAGCGCUCGAUGCCAUUGCAUUCGAGAGGUCGGUGGUUCGAAUCCACCCGGAUCCCUAAUUUGAACUGUAGAUUAUUUACUGCAGCACUUUGUGUUUACCUUUGAUUUUUUUUUUUGGGAACCAGCACCGUUAAAUUAAGCUUUUACGACUAUGUAACAACAGAUACUUUGAAACUAGUACGACCAUUGGAAGUGUGGUAUUGUGUUUAUUUCUCUUGAUGUAGUUAUUGUAUUAUCACAUAUUUGAAAUAUUUUCUCCUGCUGCUGGUAAUUGCAGCAAUGGUACUAACAUUUCAAUGCUUAAAUCUUCCUGCAGGUUGCUAUUUCCGUAUGGGUGAUAAACACCCCUAAAGAGGGUUGAUACUUCCAUCAAAUUUUCUUGAUCACAGGAACAUCUUUGAGGCUCAAAAGUAUAAAAUAUUCAGUUGGAAGUACAAGAGAUGGAAUUAAUAAUAUUUUUAAAUGUCUAGUAAUGUAAUCUUCAUACUGUGGCACUAAUUUUAAUCUUCAUAUUUCUCGAUUGAGUUGUUAUUAGGUAUUGCUCUCUGAGCUAGUAUUCUAACAGCUCACUUUUUAAUUCUCUGAUGAUGUAAGCAUUGGAGUAUUGUGGUUGUACCUAACACAAAAUGAAUAGGAGUUCCAUUUUCUUAAAAGUAUAAUAAUAGCAUAAAGGUGUUGUCAAUAUUAUUUCCUAGCUUACAAUAAAUAGUUAAUCUCAAAAUUUGUAUUGUACUUCAGUUUUGAGAAAAUUAUAAUACUAAAAUCUACUUAUAAUAUAUUUCAUGUAUGAAUGGAACAAAGUUCACAUUUUCCAUUUAAUUUUAUUUGAUUUAAGAUCUAAUAUGUCCAACGAAAAUACAUGGCAUUUAGAAUAACAAAAAGUAUUAACUAUUUUUAAGUCGAAAUAUAUUCAUCUAAUUAUAAAAAUGUGAAAAUACUUAUUUUAAAAGUACUUUAAAAAAAAGUAUUUUUGGAAAGAAACAAUUUGUGUUUGGUUAAUCACUCUAAAACACUUUUGAACAAUAAUUUAUGUUUGACCAAGUUUUCAAAAAGUGCUUUUAAGUAUCAAAUUACGAAUAAGGACAUGAAUAAAUUUACUUAAUAGUUAAUAUUAUAAGUAAAUAAAUAAUCUCAAAAAUUUAUCAUUACAUGCAAUAAUUAAUUUUUGUAUUUCAUUUAAGUAAAGUACGAAAAUAAAAUUAAAAAGUACUUAAUUCUUUUAAUAUAAGUAAAAUAUAUUAAAAUAUAUUUAAUAAAUAUAAAAGCAUUCACCAUUAAAAUCACUAUAUAUUAGAAAGCUAUCCUAAAAAUAAGAAGAUAUAUUUAUACAUUAAUAUCCUAAGUAUUAAGUUAACGGUUAUUUUGGUAUAUACUAUAUUUUAUUAAUGGUAUUUUAGGUAAGAAGAAAAUUUAAAACUGCUCUUACUUCUGUUUUUGAAAAAAAAUUAUAUUUUUCUUCUCAAAAGCUAUUUUUACUUCUUCCCAAAAUAUUUUUUUCUCCCCAAAAAACUUGGCCACACAUCUCAAGUUAAAAAAAAGAAGUAUUUUUGGUAAAAAAAAAACAAUUUUGGCCUCAAACAGGCUAUUAUUCCAUUUACAGCCGUCCAAGUAUUUGCGUACCCUAUUCGUCGUCAACCACUUAUCCUAAAUUAAUCUGAGCCGUUAGAUCCUUCUAAAUUCUCAAUAAAUUACGACCUCCUCCUAUCAUUCAUACCUACCUCUUCCAUCUAUGCCCAAUAUCUGUAUCUCCAGAUCUCAUCUUCGUAGUUUAUCUUCUUCAAAUUUCAUGUUCAGAUCUGUGUAGAUCGGUUUUCGAUCUACCUUUUGAAUAUGGUUGUGCUGUGUUUCUGUAACAGCUCAGCCAUUGAUCAACCGAGCUGUGUAACUGUUCGAUUUCCGUCGACUAUGGCCGUUGAUUGACGAGGAGCUUGUAGAUCUGAUGCUUUUCGCAAUGGCUCGAUGUAGGUGAGCAUCAGAUCUGUUUGGUCUUCAGAGAUAUGUUGAGGUUGGAUCAGUAGUUUGAGCAACCAAGGUGUUAUUUUACCGAGGCUUCAACCGUAGUUUGCUAGAGCUUUACCGGUGAGCUAAAUAUGCUUAUUUGAGUUUUGUUUAUUUGGAGAAGAUGUGUUAAGCAAGUUAUGUUUGUUGAAACCAAGCUAAUCCUUUUACAUGUUACAGAUCUGAAUAGAGAUGCAAGGACUACUGAAUCGUUGCUGCCGUCGUUUUGAGUCAAUCGGUUUGGACCGGUGAUCAUCGGUCGGGGAUUGAAAUCUGCUAGCGUGAUGGUGUAUCUAAGGUUAUAAUAGUUUAAUUUGAUGUCUAUAAUUAUUUGAAUGGCUCAUGUGCAUUAUUUUUUCAUUUUAUGCAUGCAUAUGUACGAGAGGAUGAAAGAUUGAGUGACUUUGUGUGAGAUAUGAGAGGAAAAAGUGAGGUAUUUAUUGUUCAUGUUACCAGGCCUUUGCCAUGUUGGGUGCGCUCACAUGGCAGGUCAAAAGUACCUAAUAAAAGUAUUUAUUUUCGGUGUUGGGGAGAGGAGACGGCACGGAGUUUUGCCCGGCUCUCCUCUCUUCGUCUGUCUGCUUCUUUUUUAUUUUUUCCUGUUCUUUCCUUGCUCCUGCGUUCAAAAACUUUGCGUCGAUCAGUGGUUACUUGUCGUUGAAUAGGCCUUGUGAUUACUGUUGUGUAUUUUGAGGCGAGGCCUAUUCAAGGACAAGUAAUUCAUGUUGAUUUGCUCACCACGGUGAUGGACACAAGCAACGUUUCUACUGCAGCACGUCACUAGAGGUACAAUAUCAAUUCUCUUAGUUUAAGUUAACUUUCACAUUUUUCAUAAUAUUAGUCAAUUCUAAAAUAAUUGCCUUAAUUAUCACGCGUACACUAAUACUCAUAUAAAAACUUCCUGACAGCAAUUCUGGAAAUAUUUAAAAAAAGCUGAAAUGCUCACAUGCUGUACUUUUAUGUUAAGCACUUGCACCUCUUUUUGGAAGUUACUUUAGAAUAUAUUUUGGCCGCUGUUAAUUGGCUUGUGAACUUGCCAAUUUGAGCACCUCAUAAUAUUCCCACAAAGUGGUUUAAUAAAAUUUAUGCUCCUAAAUAGGAUCCCUAAUUCAUGAUGUUCCAUGAAAAUGGUAAUUACACCUUUAUUGGUUAUGGUAAGCUUAUGUUUUAAUGAAAUCUGAAAAUGGAACCAACUGUUAGUUGCGAUUGGUCAUGGAGCAUAAAAUUAGAAUUGGUAUUGCAAAGUUGUAUCUAAGCUCCUUAUUAUUCUCUAAUAAGGUUUGAUCUCGUUGUUUAAGCCUAAAGUUUCCCCAGAUAUUUAAGAAACUAUAAUCAGUAGUGAUAUUGGAAUAGUAAUUGGUUUAUUUAUCUAUAUGGUGGAUAAAAUAGCGGAAUUAACAAGCUGUCAUCUUACGAAAUGUUGCGGAAAUUCAUGGUGUUAUUACAAAAGCUCGCGAAACUGAAACUUCCAUUUUCAUUAAUUCUGCAUAUUCAACUUAAUUCGGUAUUCUCCUUUUAUAUAUACCAAUUUUUGAUUACUUAGUAAAUAAUACCUAGUUAUUUAGUAUUCAUGAGUUAUUGUUUUUAAGUAGUCAUGUCUUCUUUGGCAAGAGUCUAGUCGGUGCUUAGCUGUGUUCUCUUGAUCUAUGAUGUAAUAGUUUCAUUCCAAUGGGAGUUCUUUGUUAUGGUACCCCUGUUGUAGUUUUUUGGGAGGGGUACCUUGUGUAGGCAGGUUUGGAACUUUGACCUUAAAAACAAUUCAGUGUAUUCCGGUUAGAUUUGAUGCAUAUCAAAUGAUGGUGGGUGGCCGUUCCUUCCAAUAAGCUGGAGGCGCAUUGGUGCUGACUGAAGUUCAAAUUUUUGGUGCUGCAUCUUGACAUAUAGUGCUGCUUCUAGUGAUUGUGAAGCUUUGUUCACCCGUGAUCAUCAAGUAAUGGACCUGCUGCUGCUGUUGAAGAUUUGAUGGCCUGUGUUGUGCUUUCUGCUCCAGGUAAUUUUCUCCUGGAUAUCUCGCUUUGGUGAGGAAUAUGUGAGAAGCGUGUUGCUGUUGCUGGUUUGAAUCUAUGGAUUUCAUUAUGUUUUGAAGCUGUGCUUUUGUGUGAUCAGCAAGUCUCAACAUUGGUUGGUUUUACAAGUCGUUUCAUCCAAGAUGAAGUGUGACGGAAGAUGUUAGAGCUUGUUGCUGUUGCUUGUUUGGGUCUGUGGUUUUCAUUAUGUUUGCGAGCUGUGAGCAAAAGUUUCAACACCAGUUGGUUUUGCAAGCAGGUUCAUCCAAGAUGAAGUGUCAGACGGAGGUUGUCAAGUCUGUAUAUCCCAAAGAAUUUAAAGAAGCGUAUUUUCUGAAUGGAAAACUGAAGCUAGCUCAUUUGAAGAGUUGGUAUGGUAUUUCUUUUUGGAAGUAUUUUCUCAGGAAA